UACGUAGGGUGCGAGCGUUAAUCGGAAUUACUGGGCGUAAAGCGUGCGCAGGCGGCUUUGCAAGACAGAUGUGAAAAUCCCCGGGCUUAACCUGGGAACUGCAUUGGUGACUGGCAGGCUUUGAGUGUGGCAGAGGGAGGUAGAAUUCCACGUGUAGCAGUGAAAAUGCGUAGAGAUGUGGAGGAAUACCGAUGCGAAGGCGGC
RNAcentral lists this ribosomal RNA (204 nucleotides) under uncultured bacterium. RNAcentral describes it as "partial 16S ribosomal RNA". It matches the Rfam family "Bacterial small subunit ribosomal RNA", at positions 524 to 725 of the family's 1533-position model. The record is from RNAcentral.